GGAUUGCCUCAGUAACGGCGAGUGAAGCGGCAACAGCUCAAAUUUGAAAUCUGGCCGCAAGGUCCGAGUUGUAAUUUGUAGAGGAUGUUUCGGGCACCGCCGCGGUGUAAGUUCCUUGGAACAGGACGUCAAAGAGGGUGAGAAUCCCGUCUUGGAUCGCGGUAGGGCUCGUGUGAAACUCCUUCGACGAGUCGACUUGUUUGGGAAUGCAGGUCAAAAUGGGAGGUAAAUUUCUUCUAAAGCUAAAUAUUGGCCCGAGACCGAUAGCGCACAAGUAGAGUGAUCGAAAGAUGAAAAGCACUUUGAAAAGAGAGUUAAACAGUAUGUGAAAUUGUUGAAAGGGAAGCGCAGGCAACCAGACUCGAGCGCGGGGUUCCCCUGGUUCUGCCAGGUCACUUCCCCGCGACCGGGCCAUCAUCAGGUUUGGGGGUCGGUCAAAGGCCCCGGGAAUGUACCUACUCCUUCGGGGGUAGACUUAUAGCCCGGGGUGUCAUGCGACCUCCCGGGCCUGAGGAACGCGCUUCGGCGAGGAUGAUGGCGUAAUGGUUGUCUGCGACCCGUCUUGAAACACGGACCAAGGAGUCUAACAUCUAUGCGAGUGUUUGGGUGUCAAACCCCGGCGCGGAAUGAAAGUGAACGGAGGUCGGAAGGCGCAAGCCCGCACGAUCGACCGAUCCUGAUGUCUUCGGAUGGAUUUGAGUAAGAGCAUAGCUGUUGGGACCCGAAAGAUGGUGAACUAUGCGUGAAUAGGGUGAAGCCAGAGGAAACUCUGGUGGAGGCUCGCAGCGGUUCUGACGUGCAAAUCGAUCGUCAAAUUUGCGUAUAGGGGCGAAAGACUAAUCGAACCAUCUGGUAGCUGG
This 860-nucleotide ribosomal RNA is filed under the name Lithohypha aloicola. RNAcentral's name for it is "partial large subunit ribosomal RNA". It matches the Rfam family "Eukaryotic large subunit ribosomal RNA", at positions 72 to 954 of the family's 3401-position model. Lineage: Eukaryota; Fungi; Ascomycota; Eurotiomycetes; Chaetothyriales; Trichomeriaceae. The record is from RNAcentral.